Molecule: ribosomal RNA, 253 nt
Filed under: uncultured bacterium
Lineage: Bacteria
Description: partial 16S ribosomal RNA
Rfam family: Bacterial small subunit ribosomal RNA
Source: RNAcentral
UACGAAGGGGGCUAGCGUUGCUCGGAAUCACUGGGCGUAAAGGGUGCGUAGGCGGGUCUUUAAGUCAGGGGUGAAAUCCUGGAGCUCAACUCCAGAACUGCCUUUGAUACUGAGGAUCUUGAGUUCGGGAGAGGUGAGUGGAACUGCGAGUGUAGAGGUGAAAUUCGUAGAUAUUCGCAAGAACACCAGUGGCGAAGGCGGCUCACUGGCCCGAUACUGACGCUGAGGUGCGAAAGCGUGGGGAGCAAACGGG